UCAGUCAGCCCCUCCUCUUCUGUUUUACAGAGCAAUUGCAUCUAUGCCAUAUACUGGGCACAUUUUUCAUUGGUUUCUGUUUUGAUGAAAAAAAGCAUAAGUCAGAGAAUUUUGCAAGUGAGAAGAGAAAUGCUGCUGUACAAAGGCAGAAUUCAGGAAAAAGUGUGUUACUUUGAGGGCGACUGCAGCCCUGGACCUAGAUGUGAAUGUCCCUUUAACUAUGAGGUCCCCUCUCCAACACACUGCUUUUCACAUUGAACAGAUGGCACAUGAGGAUGUAAAGACACUGUCAGAAGGGCAAAAACUCUUCUCAUGGAGGAUGGAUGAGCUGUAUUCAGCAAGAGAAAGACCAGAGAAACUCCUGCUUUAUCAACCCUCUGCACCCUGAGGUGUGGGAAUAUCCACACCAUGAACCUUCCCCCACCACAUCAGAGAGGGCAGAGUAGCAAUUACAGCACCCUGUUCCAUGGGACCAUCUUUCUCUUUUGCAUUCAAGGUCACCGUAAGUUUCUGAAGAAUGAAGUAUAAAACAAAACUGUUAAAUACUGCAAAUUGCUGUAAAUGCUGUGGAACUUCCAUUUUGUAUUGCUGAAGGCUGCUGGGGAAUGUGUGUAUGGAGGAAGGAGAUACACAUGUGAAAGCUUCAGAAGAAGUGAUAAUCAGUUUUAAAAUGUAGGUUUAGUCUUUAAAGUGAGGCUCUAAGUGGGAAAAUUGUUUUAAUCCUUUUCUGCUUAAGAAAAGGAGUUGAAAAAAAUCACUGAUAAAGUCAAGGUCCCAUCAAUUUUUUCCUUAGAUUAUUUGGGUUUUUUGUUUAGCAACUGGAUCAAAUGGGAUCAUGGAGAACUAGCAUCUUACAAAUACCUUCUUAUAUAUGAUUUUUAAAGGUUCUAGACUUUAAAACAGCAACAAAAAAUCAUUCUGUUACUAUUUGUGUGUAGUGGUUUUGCACAUUUUUUUAGGCAUCUGCCUUAAAAUAUCCAUACGUCAAAAAAGUGAGAUAGUGGUAGUCUUGAUUCUCACAUCACUUUUGUUUUGCUCCUCCCCCUUGUAAAUAAGAAGUGGGGGGAGAGGGGGAAAGAAUUUUUCUGCAAAAACUAAACUCUCAGUGGUGUCAGAACCUUCAGUCUUCUAAUGGAUUUAUGUGCUAAUGUUUAAUUCUAGAAAGGGAUGAGAAUACAUAUUCAGGAUAGUAUUAAAAACACUAAGCAGAAGAAAGUGAAAAAUAUGGCAUCAACAAUUUUCAUAAAUUGAGAUUCUCUUGUACCUAUUCUCCAUUUUCUCAGGCUGGGAGAAGAAAAGCAUUGUCAAUUUUAUCAGAACAUUUAAAUCCUUGAUUUUUUUUUUUCUUCCUGUGAAAACACUUUUUAAUAUUUAUAUAAUGCCCAAGAGAAAGAGCUAGAUGUUAUCGACUUAUGUUAUCUCUAUGGAGGAACGCUCUUAAAGUUCAUAAUUCUUGGAAAGGAAAGAUGAAGAUUCAGGCCCAGAUUUUAGUAAUUUGCAUAGAAGUUUUCAUUUUAAAAGCUUCUUUUCUUAUGAAUUUCUAUUUUCCCACCUUAAGGUAGUGUUCUUUAAUACAAUGAACAGUUUUUUAAACACAAUAUUUUAAGAUGUGUUGUCUGUGAUCUUUCUCAUACACUAUUUCAGAUGUAAUAGAGACAUCAGCUUCCCAUAGGAAACCUGUUUUCCAGUUUUACAUUAUUCAUUUUUUGUUUUCCUAGCAAGAGCAGUUUUUGUGCACAAAAUAUUUCCAUUUUUUCUUUGUUUGUAGCACAUUGUUACUCUUAGCAUUUCACUUAACAGUUACUCCAUUCUUUCAUGUCUACAGGGACUGAGUAGUGUUUAGAGACCUGCCUGAAUAAAGAAACCAGUUGGUACACAGAUGAAAAAUCUGUGCUAAUCCUGUAGUUUCUUAAAUAUAUUCUUUUAUUUGAGAUAUAUUUUUAUUACUAUAUUAGUAUCCAAAGAAGAGCUGUUCACUCUGAAAGGCCAUGUUCUGUUUUUUUUUCAUUUUUCACACUUUUCAUUGGCAGCAUUCUAUCAUUAAACAGUCUGUGCAGUGACAUCCCUUCUUUCUGUUGAAAUUGUUGUACUUGCUUUAAUAUGAAUAACACUCAGGUUGCCUUCCUAAGACCUCCAACUCUUCAAUUAGACCUUAUAUCUUAUUUCCCUGGCCUAGAAAUAUUUUUGCUGACCUAGAAAUCAAUUUUCCUACUAAGACCUCAUUAAUAUAUUUUUUUCUUCUGGCUUUUUUGGUUUGUUUUUUUCUUUUUCUGUAUUUGCCAGUUAUGUAUCAUCGAGAUGUAGGAUGGGCAGCAGACCUCCCUCAGACUAACAUGAUUUCUCAGAACACCUUCAAUACUGAAUGAUUGCAUCAUUACCCACAGAAGCAUAUCACUGCACAAAAAUGAUAAAACAGCAAUGAUGAAAAUACACAUCCCAUUGAAAAUUGGGAUGGAGAGGAAACAGUAUAACAGUAAAGCAAUAAAUCUAUUGACACUUUACAUGAGUGGGGAAUAAGAGAGACGUCACCACGACACUAAAAAGAGUGCAUUAGGCCAUUCAGUUUGGAUGGAGAAUAAGUUAGCUUUUAUUUGCUCAUUAUGUUAAUAAAAAUUCCAGUUUAUAUACCUUAA
Molecule: long non-coding RNA, 2633 nt
Organism: Passer domesticus (house sparrow)
Lineage: Eukaryota; Metazoa; Chordata; Aves; Passeriformes; Passeridae
Exons: 3
Source: RefSeq, a predicted model, not a curated record